AUUGAACGCUGGCGGCAGGCCUAACACAUGCAAGUCGAGCGAGCGGCGGACGGGUGAGUAAUGUCUGGGGAACUGCCCGAUGGAGGGGGAUAACUACUGGAAACGGUAGCUAAUACCGCAUACUAUCAGCUGCACCCAUAUGGGAUUAGCUAGUAGGUGGGGUAAUGGCUAACCGCGGCGACGAUCCCUAGCUGGUCUGAGAGGAUGAUCAGCCACACUGGGACUGAGACACGGGCCAGACUCCUACGGUAGGCAGCAGUGGGGAAUAUUGCACAAUUGGCGCAAGCCUGAUGCAGCCAUGCCGCGUGUGUGAAGAAGGCCUUAGGGUUGUAAAGCACUUUCAGCGAGGAGGCGUUACUCGCAGAAGAAGCACCGGCUAACUCCGUGCCAGCAGCCGCGGUAAUUC
RNAcentral lists this ribosomal RNA (406 nucleotides) under uncultured bacterium. RNAcentral's name for it is "partial 16S ribosomal RNA". It matches the Rfam family "Bacterial small subunit ribosomal RNA", at positions 30 to 526 of the family's 1533-position model. The record is from RNAcentral.